GAUGAACGCUGGCGGCGUGCUUAACACAUGCAAGUCGAACGAUGAAGCCCAGCUUGGUGGGUGUGUUAGUGGCGAACGGGUGAGUAACACGUGAGUAACCUGCCCUUAACUCUGGGAUAAGCCUGGGAAACUGGGGCUAUUACCGGAUAGGAGCGCCUACCGCAUGGUGGGGGUGGGGAAGAUUUAUCGGUUUUGGAUGGACUCGCGGCCUAUCAGCUUGUUGGUGGGGUAAUGGCUCACCAAGGCGAUGUCGGGUAGCCGGGCUUAGAGGGGGACCGGCCAAACUGGGAACGAGACACGGCCCCGACUCCUACGGGAGGGCACAGUGGGGGAUAUUGCACAAUGGGCGGAAGCCCGAAGGAGCGACGCCGCGUGAGGGAUGACGGCCUUCGGGUUGGAAACCUCCUUCAGUAGGGAAGAAGCGAAAGGGACGGUAACUGCAGAAGAAGCAACGGCUAACUACGUG
This 466-nucleotide ribosomal RNA is filed under the name uncultured bacterium. RNAcentral's name for it is "partial 16S ribosomal RNA". It matches the Rfam family "Bacterial small subunit ribosomal RNA", at positions 28 to 507 of the family's 1533-position model. The record is from RNAcentral.